RNAcentral lists this ribosomal RNA (254 nucleotides) under uncultured bacterium. RNAcentral describes it as "partial 16S ribosomal RNA". It matches the Rfam family "Bacterial small subunit ribosomal RNA", at positions 524 to 776 of the family's 1533-position model. The record is from RNAcentral.
UACAGAGGUGGCAAGCGUUGUUCGGAAUUACUGGGCGUAAAGGGCGCGUAGGCGGUCUUUUAAGUCUUGUGUGAAAUCCCUCGGCUCAACUGAGGAACUGCACGGGAUACUGGAAGACUUGAGUUCGGGAGAGGGAAGCGGAAUUCCGGGUGUAGCGGUGAAAUGCGUAGAUAUCCGGAGGAACACCGGUGGCGAAGGCGGCUUCCUGGACCGAUUACUGACGCUGAGGCGCGAAAGCUAGGGGAGCAAACGGG